RNAcentral lists this ribosomal RNA (252 nucleotides) under uncultured prokaryote. RNAcentral describes it as "partial 16S rRNA". It matches the Rfam family "Archaeal small subunit ribosomal RNA", at positions 475 to 726 of the family's 1478-position model. The record is from RNAcentral.
ACCGGCAGCUCAAGUGGUGGCCAUUUUUAUUGGGCCUAAAGCGUUCGUAGCCGGUUUGAUAAGUCUCUGGUGAAAUCCCGCAGCUUAACUGUGAGACUUGCUGGAGAUACUAUUAGACUUGAGGUCGGGAGAGGUUAGGGUUCCUCCCAGGUUAGGAGUGAAAUCCUAUAAUCUUGGGAGGAACACCUGUGGCGAAGGCGACUAACUGGACCGACCCUGACUGUGAGUCACGAAAGCCAGCGGCGCCAACCG